Long non-coding RNA from Wyeomyia smithii (pitcher-plant mosquito), 1122 nucleotides. RefSeq lists it as uncharacterized. The record is from RefSeq and is a predicted model, not a curated record. Lineage: Eukaryota; Metazoa; Arthropoda; Insecta; Diptera; Culicidae. The transcript is spliced from 3 exons.
AAAACAUUUGUGACAAUGGAUUUUUUAAAAUCUAAAUGAAUCGCUAUACGUAUCUCUCUACAAAUCGACGGCGCCGGUACUUUUUUCUUGUUUUUUGCAAGUUGCAAAUGUUUGUACAAAUCGCUGUCGCCGCGGGAUGCUUUGGUUGUUUUGUGUGAAAAAAUCGAAUAAGUUGGACAUUAUUGUUCUAGUGAAAUGUUCAGUGCUAAGAAACCAUGCGGUAAUUAAUUUAAAAAAUGUUGGAAAUUGAGCACAGCCGAUAGAAAUUUAUUGAGGUUUGCCGUUAGUUCUGGGAGAAUGGCGAUAAAAAAUUUAUAAGUCGCUACCAUAAAUGUACUAAUUAUAAAUAAUCUGCCGAAAAUUUGGAUCGUCGGGAACAGCAAAAAGUCAACCACCAAGUAGAUUCUGAUUGGCGCAGAUAGUUGACUGGGUAACAUGAUAUAGGAUAAUCAAUUUAACAUUACUUAAGUGAUAUAGAUGCCGAUGUGUAUACUAGGAAUAAUCGAUCAGGAGCUACUGGAAAUUACUUAAAGUCAAAUCGAAUCACGAUUCUCCUUCCGACAAAUAUUUAUACUUGCUAUGAGAGAUAACUUUGCUGGGAGACUAAGAAUACAACAAAGGAACCAAUUCCCUCGGAUGCUUCACAAAACCGCGUGCUACAAUUCAGAGAGCUGGUUCCGUUUAGUGUUGAUCAAAAUACAAAUGCCGUAUAAUUUAAUUUAAUUUUAUCAAUAAUAAUAAUGAAUUAAUUUUAAUUAUUUUCAUAAUCGAUUGUUAUAUAUCUAGUUAUGGUUCUGACGUGAAGCACUUUGGUUUAUCUUCCGGGAGCGUAAAUUAUUUAAUAAAGGUGAUUGACAUUAGAACGCAAUCGCAAGUUCGAGUUUUUUCCCAGCAAUAAUUUUUUUUAACAACAAGUUUAACGAAAGUAUUCAUAUUUGUGAUCGAAAAACUAGAAAAAAAGCCUAUUUAAAUCUAAAAAGAUAAAAAAUCAAUCAACUGGUUCCAGAGGCGUCGCGUGGUUGAUUUCGUCACAUGUGCACCGAACAUUUAAGUUCUUUUUCCUUAAAUGAAAGAAGCAAAUCAAACCUAAGUGAUUGAUGCUUUGAAUUAAAGGGUGUCGCU